UAGCAUGGAAUAAUGGAAUAGGACGUGCGGUUCUAUUUUGUUGGUUUCUAGGACCGCCGUAAUGAUUAAUAGGGAUAGUCGGGGGCGUCAGUAUUCAGCUGUCAGAGGUGAAAUUCUUGGAUUUGCUGAAGACUAACUACUGCGAAAGCAUUCGCCAAGGAUGUUUUCAUUAAUCAGGGAACGAAAGUUAGGGGAUCGAAGACGAUCAGAUACCGUCGUAGUCUUAACCAUAAACUAUGCCGACUAGGGAUCGGACGGGAUUCUAUUAUGACCCGUUCGGCACCUUACGAGAAAUCAAAGUUUUUGGGUUCUGGGGGGAGUAUGGUCGCAAGGCUGAAACUUAAAGAAAUUGGCGGAAGGGCACCACAAGGCGUGGAGCCUGCGGCUUAAUUUGACUCAACACGGGGAAACUCACCAGGUCCAGACAAAAUAAGGAUUGACAGAUUGAGAGCUCUUUCUUGAUCUUUUGGAUGGUGGUGCAUGGCCGUUCUUAGUUGGUGGAGUGAUUUGUCUGCUUAAUUGCGAUAACGAACGAGACCUCGGCCCUUAAAUAGCCCGGUCCGCAUUUGCGGGCCGCUUGCUUCUUAGGGGGACUAUCGGCUCAAGCCGAUGGAAGUGCGCGGCAAUAACAGGUCUGUGAUGCCCUUAGAUGUUCUGGGCCGCACGCGCGCUACACUGACAGGGCCAGCGAGUACAUCACCUUAACCGAGAGGUUUGG
Molecule: ribosomal RNA, 718 nt
Filed under: uncultured fungus
Lineage: Eukaryota; Fungi
Description: SSU rRNA
Rfam family: Eukaryotic small subunit ribosomal RNA
Source: RNAcentral